Molecule: ribosomal RNA, 452 nt
Filed under: uncultured bacterium
Lineage: Bacteria
Description: bacterial SSU rRNA
Rfam family: Bacterial small subunit ribosomal RNA
Source: RNAcentral
GAGAGAAGCUUGCUUCCUUGUCGGCGACCGGCGCACGGGUGAGUAACGCGUAUCCAACCUUCCCCUUAGUAGGGCAUAGCCCGGCGAAAGUCGGAUUAACACCCUAUGUUAUCCGAAGAGGACAUCUGAAUUGGAUUAAAGGUUUACCGCUAAGGGAUGGGGAUGCGUCUGAUUAGGUAGUAGGCGGGGUAACGGCCCACCUAGCCGACGAUCAGUAGGGGUUCUGAGAGGAAGGUCCCCCACAUUGGAACUGAGACACGGUCCAAACUCCUACGGGAGGCAGCAGUGAGGAAUAUUGGUCAAUGGGCGAGAGCCUGAACCAGCCAAGUAGCGUGCAGGAUGACGGCCCUAUGGGUUGUAAACUGCUUUUAUACGGGGAUAAAGUGAGGGACGUGUCCCUUUUUGUAGGUACCGUAUGAAUAAGGACCGGCUAAUUCCGUGCCAGCAGCUGC